Long non-coding RNA from Notothenia coriiceps (black rockcod), 313 nucleotides. RefSeq lists it as uncharacterized. Lineage: Eukaryota; Metazoa; Chordata; Actinopteri; Perciformes; Nototheniidae. The transcript has 3 exons. The record is from RefSeq and is a predicted model, not a curated record.
CAAUAGACUUUCAGGAGUUUAAGCGUCUUUUUGACAAGAUUACCGUCCAUGAACGCCGCACAUUCACACAACGUGGUGAAGUUUCGUAAACAUGCCGGCUAGCCAAACAGCUAGCUAAUUUGAACGCAUACAGACAUGGAGCUGGCCAGCGUCUGACUCCACGAUAAGGAGAAAAGAUCAGGUGUCAUGUCUGAGACGGAGUUUGUUGAUCAAGUUGAUGAUGGGAGCAGCAGUACUGCAGCUGCAGGCCACCGAGGAUACACUGCAGAUUGUGAGAGAAGUUGAACCCAAGACUGACCUCUCUGCUUGAAAG